This 606-nucleotide ribosomal RNA is filed under the name uncultured bacterium. RNAcentral describes it as "bacterial SSU rRNA". It matches the Rfam family "Bacterial small subunit ribosomal RNA", at positions 254 to 851 of the family's 1533-position model. The record is from RNAcentral.
GAGGUAAUGGCUCACCAAGGCAGCGAUCCGUAGAUGGUCUGAGAGGAUGAUCAGUCACUCCGCAAUUGAGACACGGUCCAGACUCCUACGGGAGGCAGCAGUGCGGAAUAUUGGACAAUGGGGGGAACCAUGAUCCAGCCAUGCCGCGUGGGUGAAGAAGGUAUGAGGAUUGUAAAGCACUUUAAGUUGGGAGGAAGGGCAGUUACCUUAUAUUUGAUUGUUUUGACGUUACCGACAGAAUAAGCACCGGCUAAAUUUGUGCCAGCAGCCGCGGUAAUAUAAAGGGUGCAAGCGUUAAUUGGAAUUACUGGGCGUAAAGCGCGCGUAGGUGGUUGGUUAAAAUUGGAGUGAAAGCCCCGGGCUCAACCUGGGAAUUGCUUAUAAAACUGGCGGGCUAGAGUAUGGUAGAGGAUGGUGGAAUUUCCUGUGUACCGGUGAAAUGCGUAGAUAUAGGAAGGAACAUCAGUGGUGAAGAAGACCACCUGGACUAUUAUAAACAACGAGAAGCGAAAAAGUGGGGAGCAAACAGGAUUAGAUACCCCCGUAGUCCACCCCGUAAACGAUGUCAAUCUAGUUGUUGGGUUCCUUGAGCACUUAGUAACGCAG